Molecule: long non-coding RNA, 656 nt
Filed under: Homo sapiens (human)
Lineage: Eukaryota; Metazoa; Chordata; Mammalia; Primates; Hominidae
Description: non-protein coding lnc-APBB1IP-4:2
Source: RNAcentral
AAAAAAGCGAAAGCAAACUCAAAGGUGCUUCCCCAGAAAUACCAGAAAUACAGAAAGUAAGAGAAUUCUGAUGGUGUGGACUUGACAUAUGUAAAGAAGUAGGGGGACAGCUUGCACAGGUGAUUUCCAAGGGCAUGAAAUAUUUCUUCUACAGUUAGUUAUAAGUUCUGCUAUAUCCCUACAGGAGGAAUUAAGCAUGUGGAAGGGAAAGAAAGCUCCAGCUGCCCUGGUUCAUAUGAGCAACAGGACCCAAUCUUUUCAGCUGGGUAAAAUGAAAAUCAGCAGGAGCUGCAUCUUUAUUCUGAUACCUGCUGAUCUCCCACUCAUGAUGUAAUAGUACAGUAACUUUUUUCUCCUGAAACCUUGCUAAAAUCAUUUAUCAGUUCUGUUAGCCCUUUGGCAGAGUCUUUCGGGCUUUCCAUUAUAGAAUCAUGUUGUCAGUGAAGAGAGAGAGUUUGACUUCUUUUCCUAGUUGGAUGCCUUUUAUUUCUUUCUCUUGCCUGAUUGCUCUGGCCAGGACUUUCAAUAGUAUAUUGAAUGAUAUAGUAUAGGAGUGAUGAGAGUGGACAUCCUUGUCUUGUUCCAGUUCUCAAGGGGAAUGGUUCUGGCUUUUGCCUGUUCUGUAAGAUGCUAGCUGUGGGUUUGUCAUAGAUGGC